Humulus lupulus (European hop) is the source of this 6830-nucleotide long non-coding RNA. RefSeq lists it as uncharacterized. The transcript is spliced from 3 exons. The record is from RefSeq and is a predicted model, not a curated record. NCBI's taxonomy places the organism in Eukaryota, Viridiplantae, Streptophyta, Magnoliopsida, Rosales, Cannabaceae.
UAAAUCUAUCCUAUCUCAUUUUCUCUCUCUCAACUCUUUCUCCCAGCCGCACCCUUUCUCUUCUAAACUCUCUGUCUCCCUCACAUCUAUCUAUCCUAUCAACUCUCUCUCUAAGUCUCCUUUUUCUCUUGUAGGUGGCUGGCGCGGGAGGCUCAACGGAGAUGGCGAUGGGUAUAUACAGUCUAAAAUUACUUCUAUAGUAGUGUGUGUAUAUAUAUACUCUUGUAUUGUAGUGAAAAUAAUAGUUUGUUAGCAUUGAAACAAGUCAAAGAAUCAUUCAGACUUCACAUUGAUUCGUGAUUUUUUUUUGUACUCGGAUAAGUUGGUGAACGGGAUAAAUAGGUACAAACGGGAUAAAUAGGUCAUAAACAUUUCCUUAUCCCUAAUCUACGACCAGACUCUAUUUUGAAAAGUCAAAGUCAUCUCAAUUUAUCUUUGCCAUCUCUAAAUAUUUUCAAGAGGUAGAACUCAAGUUGGAGUCCUAGAGGGCAAGAUACGUUUAAUUUAAUAAAGGUAAACUCACUUAUCUUUUGAUCUAUGUUUUCAUUGUCAUGAGUAAUUUCUACUUAGUAGUGCAACUAAAAUAAAUAUUUUUCUAUGUUCUUUCAUGGCUUAGAAAUGACUUUUGAGUGUUGGAAAUCUAGGUUGAGAACUGAAUAUAUAAAACUACAUUCAAACUAGUUAAGGCGAGCUUUAUGUGGGGUGUUCUUGAAUUUGAGUUGAGAAACUAAUAUAUUUUGUUGUAACUCUUGAAAUUACAACUCUAAGUUAGGCAGUGACUUAGAAAUCCAAACUCUAAGUCAGUUAGACAUAGUUUCAAGUGUGUGUCUAAGGAUAUGUUAACCCUGUCGUCUAUGCUUAUAACUCUGAUUAUUUUUGUUUUAGAUAUGAAUUUAUUGUUUUUUAUUUCUCUGUUUUGGGUCUUGUUUAGUAUCACACUAUUUAUUAAACAUUAUUUCUGGUUUGAUUCUUAUUUUUUUUUUAUCAAGAAGAAAGAAACACUUUAUUAAACAAACAGACAAAUACAAACAAGGGCAGACCGCCCAAACAACAGCCAAGAACGCAGCCAAGAACUCAGCCAAACUAGUACCAAACCUCACUCUACAUACAUUGGAGCUUUCUUAUGAAAAGCUUGAGAUGAGGUAAAAACUUCCUAUUAGGAACAAUGUAUAAUCUGUACUUGACUAAAGUAAUCACUUCCUUUGCUAUACAGUUUGCUGUCAAAGAGAACCCAUCAAAAAUGCAUCUAUUCCUAUUCUUCCAUAUAUGAUAAAUCACUGCAGCUAAAACCAUAUUCAGAAUAAUGUCCAUAAUGUCAUUCUGCCCAACACUGAGCCGAACAGUCCAAUCAGAAAACUUGGUGGCCCAAGCUUGAAACCCAAGCCAAGAAAAAAUACAAGACAAGACCCUCUUGGAAAGGUAGCAGUCAAAAAACAAAUGGUCAUGACUUUCUAAUUGGUCUUCACAAACUGGGCAGUAUAGGCUAUUCAACUGUAUGUUGAACUUAGCCAAAUUGUCUCUAGUUAGGAGGUAAGAAUUGACCACCAUCCAUAACAAGAAUCGAUGCUUAGGGAGGAUUGUUCGGCACCAAACUGCGUUCUUAUAAGCCACAAGUUGCUGGUUUAUUGAGCUGUUAUACAGCUUGGACGUCUUGAAUUUCCCAGAAAUGCCAGCAGCAAUCACCUCUCUUUCACUGAACUUGUUCCUUAAAUGGCAGAGUUUCCGCCAAUACCAGCUGCUAUCCUGUUUCAGAACAUAGUUCCAAAAAUUAACCCCCUUCAGGUAAACAUUCUGAACCCAUUUGACCCAAGGUGUGUCUUGUUUAGCAGAGACAGCCCACACAUAUUUAGCUAGAAGCGGUCUGUUAUAGCUAGCCCCAUCUCUGAGCCCGAGCCCUCCAUAAGCCUUAGGAAGGCAUACUUGCUGCCAAGAAGCUAAAUGGAGUUUACUACGAGUCCCUGAGGCCCCCCACAGGAACAAUCUGCAUAAUUUCUCAACCUCCUUGACGAUACUUUGAGGCAAAAUAAACACAUUCAUCCAGUAGUUUCUCCAGCCAAAUAGGACAGUAUGAAUGAGCAAUAACCGGCCAGCAUAGGAUAAAUGCCUACUAGACUAAGAAAACAGCUUAAUUCUUAUUUUAUGAACAAUGAUCUCACAAUCCUCAUGUUUCCAUUUAGUUGGCCUCAUAGGAACCCCAAGAUAAUAAAGAGGAAAGCUCCCCUCAGGAAGUUGAAUGGCCUGAGUUAUCACUCUUCUAUCCGCUGCACUAACUCCUCCAAAAUAGAUAUGAGACUUCUUGGAAUUUAUUGACAGCCCAGAAGCUUCACUAAACUUCCCUAGAGCAUCCUUAAGAAUACUUACAGUCGUAAGAGAGCCUUUGCAAAACAGAAUAAUAUCAUCUGCAAAACACAAGUUGAGAAGCUAUAGGCUCUUACACAGGGUGAAAACGAAAUAAUGAAGACCUGGCAGCCAAUUGAAAACUUCUUGUCAUAUAUUCCAUAAUGAGCACAAAGAGAAGAGGGGACAUAGGAUUCCCUUGGCGCAGGCCCUUUUCCCCCUUGAAUCUACUCUGAACUCUACCAUUUAUCAAUAAAGAAUAGGUAGUGUUCCUGAUACAAGUCAUAAUCCAGCCAAUGAACUUACUAGGAAAACAGUAAGCCCUCAAAAGAUCUUCCAAAAAUUGCCAGUCAACAGUGUCAUAAGCCUUACUGAGGUCAAUCUUAAUUGCACAGCGAGAAGAAGUAAUAGCCCUUCCAUAAUUCUUGAUUAGAUCCUGAAGAAUCAUUAUAUUAUGAGCAAUCGACCUACCUCGAACAAACGCACCUUGAUUAGAUUGUAUAAGAAAAGGAAGCACCACUGCCAGCCGAGAACAUAACAGUUUAGCCAUUACUUUAUAAAGAGUCGAACAACAUGCAAUAAUCCUGUAAUCUAAGGCCUGAGCUGGAUUAGGAACCUUAGGAAUCAAUGACAAAGUAGUCUCAUGAAGCUCAUUAGGGAAUUGGCCUGUGGAGAAACCGUGUGUGAUUGCUGAGCAUAUAUCCUGACCAAUAUCCUGCCAAAGAGAUUUAAAGAAACCUGAACCAUAUCCGUCUGGACUAGGCGAUUUAGUAUUAGGGAUACUAAACAAUGCAGCUCUUAUUUCCUUGUUGGAAAAGGGUUUUAAAAGAGAGAGCUGUUGCUCUACUGAAAGCUUAGUGCCCAAAGCUAUACAAUGCAGGUCAACUUUUCCUAUAGUAGAACUAGGACUACCAAGAUAGCUCUUGAAAUGAUCAACAAAAUGGGCUCCCACCUCCUUAAAAUCAUCUAUUAGCAGACCGUGAUCAUUGAUAUAAGAAACUAUAGUGUUCUCUGCUUUUCGCUUCUUCAAAUAGGCAUGAAAAUAUGAGGUAUUCAUGUCUCCCUUCCUAAUCCAGUUUAUCUUACUUUGUUGAGCAAGAAAACUAUGAUACAUGUGUUCUUGUUGAUGAAACUCAGUUGCCCUCUCCUUUACUGCCUCUUGCAACUUGAGAUCAUGAGGAUUCUCUUUGGCUUGAAAUUGAGCAUCUUGAUAGGCCACCAUAGCCGACUGAUAACUGAACCCUACAUCUCCAAUACAGUCCCUGUUAAACUUCUUAAGCCUAUGCUUCAACCUCACAAGCCUGAUAUAAAUUGCUCUCAGACUAGAAACUAUAACAGGGGCCCUCCAAUUGCUCAAGACUACCUGGUUAAAAUUUGAAUGGCCAGACCAGAAAUUGUAAUAUCUGAAAAGUUUGAUUCCCAUAGCCUCAUGGGAAUGUUAGACACUACACAAGAACAAUGAUCGGAGACCACCUCCCAUCUAAAAACAGCCAAAGAUUGAGGAAACAUGUCCAACCAAUCCUCAUUCAUUAACACAUGAUCUAUCUUUGAGUAGAUCCUAGCUGAGCCAUCUUGGUUAUUUGUCCAAGUAAAAUAAGAACCAAUGCUCUUAAGAGCCUCAAUUUUAGCAUCUGUUAGCCACCCUAAAGGAUCAGCCAACUCAAUACUUGAAACAUGUUUACCACCAGACCUGUCCACACCAGAAAAAGGGGCAUUAAAAUCCCCUAAAACUAUCCAGGCUUUGACUGAAAGCGAAAUACGAGUUAAAUCAUGCCAUAAGCUUCUUCUAUUCUCUGCCAAGUUGUAACCAUAGACAAAGGUGACAUGAAAUAAACUCCUCUGGCCUACCAAGUUAAUCUGGCAGUGAACCAGCUGAGGAGACUCCUCCAAAAUAGUCAAUCUCGCUAUCUCUUUCCUCCAAAUUAUUAACAGUCUACCCUCUAUUACCAGACUAGAGUAAAAUUCCCAAUUGGGAAAUUUAUGCUCUAUGAACUCACCAAUUUUAUUCCCCUACAAUUUAGUUUCCAACAAACCACCAAUUCCAAUCUUAUUCCUUCUACAAACAUCUUGGACUGAACUUUGUUUAUUCGCAUUGUUCAGUCCCCUUAUAUUCCAACUCAGAAUAGAGCACUUAUCCAUUAGAUGAACUACCUCCAAGAUGCCCAACCUUACUACCCUUUUCCUGUUCCUGAAGAACAACAAACUGGUUGAUCUGUUUUUGAGUCUCUACAACCAGGUUAGAGUUACCACCAGUUGUAUGACCCUGUCUACUCUGAGUAGCAACACGCAUAGGAGUUUGCCAUAUCGCUUCCUUGUUCCUCUCCUUAACCGGACCUGAGUCGGCCUUCCCUAAAAGAGUAACCUCGCUAAUAUUCGGAACUGAGUUUUCUACUACUUUAGACCCACCUGCCUGCUCACCUGGUUCCUCUUCAUUAAGCCCCUUAGUAACUUUUGGCUGCUCCAAAGGAACUUCAGCUUUAGAACUAGCUUCUUUUUCCACCCAAAUAGUCUUAUGCUCCUUGCGACAGUCUACCAUAGAAUGCCCAAACCCAGAGCAACUCUUACACUUAGUAGGCAGCCACUCAUACUCUAUUCCUUGUUCAAUAAUCUGGCCAUGCUCAUUGAUAAACUGAAAACUUCGAGGAGGAUUAUCAGUAAUUUCCAUCUCCACUAGAACCCUCGCAAACUGAACUUGAGAACGCUCCCUAGUAAACUUAUCUACUAAAAGAAGUUUGCCUAUCGUGCUCACCAAAGCACUUAUACAUUUUCUACCCCAAUACUGCAGGCCAAGGUCGUGUAGCUAUAUCCAAAGCGGAACCGAACGGAUGAGACGAAUAGCACUAAGGUCUGCUGUCCACGGCCUGAUGAUGACAGGCUUUCUAUCAAAUUGAAGCACUCCAUUAUCUAGAACAUGAUCUCUUGUUGCUUCAUCAUUGAAUUUCACCAAAGUUAGCCCCAAUAUCAUUCUAGAGAUUUGGGCAAUCCCUAGAUGACCCCAGACUCUUUUUAUAAAUUCUUCAAACAAUGCCAUUGGAGGGUUUGCUCCAAGCACCAUGCAAACCACAGCAUAGCUCCAAUUGGCUGACUGAAUUUUCACCUCUUCAAUAUCAACUUGAGCCAGCUUCUGCCCAUUUCUGAAUAUAGGUUCAGUAAAUUCAAGUUUCGGUUCAGAGAAGGAAAGCUUACUCAUUCUAAAUUGUUGCCAUUGAUGCUGGGCCUCUGACUGAAAAUCUCCUUCCGUGACCUUAUCCCCUCCUUCACUCCUAUCUGCCCAAGAAGCAUUCCUCAUAUCUGUAUCCAAUCCAUCGUCCACAACCUCAACAGGCUGGGCACUCUUACACUGUCGAUCCAUUUCACCAGUCUGCAAAACCCCAGACCCAGGCAUUCCUAAUUCCAUCAAAUUGACAUGCUCUUGUUUAGCGAAACCAUCUCCCUCUGAACAAAGCACAUCCUUCGCUUGGGCCACAGGCGAUAACUUCUCAGUCCGAUCAUCAGAAAGAAUUUCAGGCCUACGAAUCGGCUUCUUCCGCUUCGCCAUGGAAGAGAGCAACCCGACCCUUCAGCUUCUUGGUCGUUAUUAUUUUCUUGUAUAAUUUUGAUUCUUAUUUUGUUCAAGUAUAAUUUUUUAUUUCUAUGAGAAUAUUGACGCUGCACACCAUCUGUUUCCAAAUAUGUUUCAAUGAUAAUGUUAGUGUAGCCUGUAGUUUUCUUCUACAUUAUUGUUUGUUCAAGCUUGAAUUAGGUUAAUGUGAGGUGUAAAAAUUACAUAUAUAUUUGGCCAUUGAUAAAUUCUACACUGUGAAAUUCUGAUUCUUGAUGAAGAGAGAAUAAAACAUAUGUGAAUGGGCUCAAAAUACUUGAGAAUGUAUGUCCUCUGAAAAAAGUUGUGAAUUUUAUUUAAUUUUUUUCUUUUUUAGUCAGUCGGUACCAAUCUUAAAUCUUAUUUUGCACAAUUUGAGAGGUUUUAUUCCUAAAGCUGAAUUAGUAAAUAAAAUAAAUAACUUUGGUGACUUGAAAGAAAAUGUAACUUUAAUCUUCAAGAUAUUUUUCUCUUCUUUUAAUCUUGCGUGCUUUUAGAUUACUAGAUUGCUUAGUUUUAUUAUGUUUGGGCCUCAUGAUUAUGACUUCUGCUGAACCCAAUGUAUAUCUUUUGUACUAAUAAUAGAUUUGCAGUGCCAACGCUCUGAAAUCUUCAGCUUACAGUAUUAUUUGAGGUUUGCAGUAGUACCAUUAUCACUAGUUGUAGAGCUCAAUUUUGUGGUGUAUCAAUCAGAAGAGUAUAGUUUCAUUGUUAUUUUUAUGUUUUAACUUUUCUACAUAUAAAAGCUACAAUAUUUGCUUAUGUUUAUCUUGUAAAAAAUAUUACAGGAUGGGAAAGAAUGUAUAUACGAUAAUGGUAAUUUUGUCUCAUUACAAAAUGCACCAUAUUAAACUAUACUAUGAUAUUGGAUUAUGGAAUGGUAGAUGUAACUCCCUACUUCCUUAGAGCCGUU